UCACUUCACAUUAAUCGCCCAUUCCUUAUAUAGGACCUGCCGGUUUCGGCCGGCUAUGGCGAUAAACGACGGUGUGCAAUAGGCACAGCGGACCCGGGGGCAGUACCCGGCGGCUCCACCACAAGCCUCUGCGAAAGCAGGGGAUUCUGACGGGGCCGAACCAGGAUCGACGUGUGUUGAAAAGCGCUGACUUUUGCCCGGGAUGGGACCACCGUGACGGCCCGUACACAAGUGCCAACGAUAACGAGGCGCUCGCGAUUGCCGCGUAACUUCGAUCCUCACGGAUUGAGUUACUAAGGACAAAAGCGCGGUUGGGCCGCACCGGGCAACAGAAGCGGAUUCCAGCGGCCAGGGGGUGCCGGGCAACAGAAACCCCCACU
Molecule: transfer-messenger RNA, 380 nt
Filed under: Sphingosinicella sp. LHD-64
Lineage: Bacteria; Pseudomonadati; Pseudomonadota; Alphaproteobacteria; Sphingomonadales; Sphingosinicellaceae
Rfam family: Alphaproteobacteria transfer-messenger RNA
About the family: Bacterial tmRNA, also known as 10Sa RNA or SsrA, is named for its dual tRNA and mRNA-like properties.
Source: RNAcentral